RNAcentral lists this ribosomal RNA (224 nucleotides) under uncultured archaeon. RNAcentral's name for it is "partial 16S ribosomal RNA". It matches the Rfam family "Archaeal small subunit ribosomal RNA", at positions 518 to 740 of the family's 1478-position model. The record is from RNAcentral.
UUCGUAGCCGGUCUGGUGCAUCUCCUGUGAAAUUGUUCGGCUUAACCGGACAGCGUGCAGGAGACACGGCCAGACUCGAGACCGGGAGGGGUAAGAAGUAUUCCAUGGGGACUGGUAAAAUGGGAUAAUCCAUGGAAGACUACCGAUGGCGAAGGCAUCUUACCCAGAACGGAUCUGACGGUGAGGAACGAAAGCCAGGGGAGCGAACCGGAUUAGAUACCCGA